GAUGAACGCUGGCGGCGUGCCUAAUACAUGCAAGUCGAGCGAACAGAUGAGGAGCUUGCUCCUCUGACGUUAGCGGCGGACGGGUGAGUAACACGUGGAUAACCUACCUAUAAGACUGGGAUAACUUCGGGAAACCGGAGCUAAUACCGGAUAAUAUAUUGAACCGCAUGGUUCAAUAGUGAAAGACGGUUUUGCUGUCACUUAUAGAUGGAUCCGCGCCGCAUUAGCUAGUUGGUAAGGUAACGGCUUACCAAGGCAACGAUGCGUAGCCGACCUGAGAGGGUGAACGGCCACACGGAAUCUGAGACACGGCCGAGACCCCUGGGGGGGGCAGGAGUGGGAAAUUUGCCAAAAGGGGCGAACGCGUGACGGGGAAACGCCGCGGGAGGAAGAAAGGUUUUGGGUGCGAAAACCUUUUUUUGGGGGGAAAAAGAAGUGGGUAAGUACUAUGCACGUCUGGACGUUACCUAAUCAGAAAGCCACGGUUAAUUACGU
Molecule: ribosomal RNA, 495 nt
Filed under: uncultured bacterium
Lineage: Bacteria
Description: partial 16S ribosomal RNA
Rfam family: Bacterial small subunit ribosomal RNA
Source: RNAcentral